GAUGAACGCUGGCGGCGUGCCUAAUACAUGCAAGUCGAGCGAACAGACGAGGAGCUUGCUCCUCUGACGUUAGCGGCGGACGGGUGAGUAACACGUGGAUAACCUACCUAUAAGACUGGGAUAACUUCGGGAAACCGGAGCUAAUACCGGAUAAUAUAUUGAACCGCAUGGUUCAAUAGUUAAAGACGGUUUUGCUGUCACUUAUAGCUGGAUCCGCGCCGCAUUAGCUAGUUGGUAAGGUAACGGCUUACCAAGGCAACGAUGCGUAGCCGACCUGAGAGGGUGAACGGCCACACUGGAACUGAGACACGGUCCAGACUCCUACGGGAGGCAGCAGUAGGGAAUCUUCCGCAAUGGGCGAAAGCCUGACGGAGCAACGCCGCGUGAGUGAUGAAGGUCUUCGGAUCGUAAAACUCUGUUAUUAGGGAAGAACAAAUGUGUAAGUAACUAUGCACGUCUUGACGGUACCUAAUCAGAAAGCCACGGCUAACUACGUG
This 497-nucleotide ribosomal RNA is filed under the name uncultured bacterium. RNAcentral's name for it is "partial 16S ribosomal RNA". It matches the Rfam family "Bacterial small subunit ribosomal RNA", at positions 28 to 507 of the family's 1533-position model. The record is from RNAcentral.